Molecule: long non-coding RNA, 1458 nt
Organism: Teleopsis dalmanni
Lineage: Eukaryota; Metazoa; Arthropoda; Insecta; Diptera; Diopsidae
Exons: 5
Source: RefSeq, a predicted model, not a curated record
UAUUAAACACAUUUGUUGUGCAAUACACAAUAGUGAAUAAUACCUUUUACACAUUUUGUAUUCAAAAUUGUAUCAACGUUGGCAACCCUGAAUAGUGGAAAACUGACAUCUUUGCUGACACUGAGCUCAUUUGUUGAUGCAUCAUUGCAGUGAGUGAAUUUAAGGGAAUUGCAGUGGAAGUGCCGGUAUUUUUGUAAAGAUAUUUCUUAACUAUUUUAAAAUUUUUUUUUGAAUUGUGUAAUUUUUAUGUAUUGAAUUUGGCGUAUGUUACAAUAAUGCAAAUAAAUAGUUGUGGAUCAUUUAACUAAUUGGAAAAGUUAAAAAUUUUGCUAUGGCGCCGUUCAAAUGUACUGAUUGAAAAUUAUACUGAUGUUAUGUUACUAUAAUAAAAUGAAAUAAAAACAUAUUCACAGUUUAAUAAAAAUGAAACGUCUACUGAUAAGUUCAAUAUUCGUGCUUUAUUAUAAAGCCGAAACAUUUGAUCAGAACUUUGUGCUUUAUAAGACUUCACUUGUCGGAAAUUUGCAAAAAAAUGAUUUGAUGAAGUGUUUUCAUAAGGAUUUAAAAAUAUACAACAUUACAAAAGCAUGUUUGUAAAAACGGUUCAAUUGUCACCAAUAACAUGCGACGCAGUUGGUACUCACAUCUGUAAACAUUAAAAAUCACCAAUGAAGAUGUGAAAAAAACCCAAAAAAAAUUUGGGUUUAUUUUGUUGCCUUUAAAUGCAUAGACUUCUCAUCCUUUUGGCAGAUUUGAAAAUGUAUAGAAGCAUUCGAGUGUUUUGCCAUUACAGUACCAACAGACCCACAAUUUGCCAAACGCAAAUAAGUAUAUGAGUAAAGCAGAGUACGCCAAUUUUUAAUAUCAGAUUAUAUUUAUAUUAACGUCAUAAAAUUCAGAAAGUAAAAUCAUUAAAUGAUUCAAAUGAGCAUCAUAAUAUCAAAGAAUUUUGAAUGCAAAAUGAUGAAUUCUUGAUUAUAUUAAAAAUUAAAAAAAGCAAUAGCUCCUAAACAUAACCAAAUCAAAGUAAUGAUUCAGCUUUUGUUCAUGAUGUUUGUGAGUGUGACCAUUAUAAUAAUCCAUCAAAAAUUGGUGGAGCAUAUGUAUGCUAUUAACUUACAAUAUAGUAUAAGCUGGUUUAUUUUUUGCUGAUGCAUCAUGGAAAAAUGUAACCAUCAUUAAUACUUCAAAUAAUGUUAUUAUUGUGAUGAUGCACAAUGUGAAAACGAGUGAUAAAUUUAUUGCUAAGAAGUGACUUUCAUCCUAUAUCAUGUUGAAACAUUGAAUGCUACUUUGCUUUUCUAUCUAAAGGAUGUUGUUAACUACAAUCAAGUUAGAGUUACCUUCAAGUGAAUAUAUUAAUGUAUUGGAAUAAUUAUAAAACUCAACUUAGAAGAAAUGAUUUGUUGAAACAAUGCCUCUUCAAGAAACUUAAAAUGCAAGCAAUUCAUCAACAGC